RNAcentral lists this long non-coding RNA (209 nucleotides) under Gossypium raimondii (Peruvian cotton). RNAcentral describes it as "long non-coding RNA (GRAI_LNC002123)". The record is from RNAcentral. Lineage: Eukaryota; Viridiplantae; Streptophyta; Magnoliopsida; Malvales; Malvaceae.
AUGGUCUUCAGAAAGUUUGUACAGAGAAGCUCAAGCUGCGAUAUCUAGGGCACCCAAUUUUUAUACUAUUUAUGUUGAAUUUGUUGUUCUUGGAAUACUUCAUUCUUUUCCAAGAUACACAUUCCCAAUCAAUUUCUUUGUUAUCCUUCUUUACUAUUUUUGAUAAUUUAUUCCUUUCGAGCUAUGCUCAGAACUAACUUUAUUCUUAU